UGCCAGACUCCUACGGGAGGCAGCAGUGGGGGAUAUUGCACAAUGGGGGGAACCCUGAUGCAGCGACGCCGCGUGGGUGAAGAAGUAUUUCGGUAUGUAAAGCCCUAUCGGCAGGGAAGAAAUUGGACGGUACCUGACUAAGAAGCCCCGGCUAACUACGUGCCAGCAGCCGCGGUAAUACGUAGGGGGCAAGCGUUAUCCGGAUUCACUGGGUGUAAAGGGAGCGUAGACGGCCAUGCAAGCCUGGAGUGAAAGCCCGGGGCCCAACCCCGGGACUGCUCUGGGAACUGUGCGGCUGGAGUGCGGGAGGGGCAGGCGGAAUUCCUAGUGUAGCGGUGAAAUGCGUAGAUAUUAGGAGGAACACCAGUGGCGAAGGCGGCCUACUGGACGGUGACUGACGCUGAGGCUCGAAAGCGUGGGGAGCAAACAGGAUUAGAUACCCUGGUAUC
This 449-nucleotide ribosomal RNA is filed under the name uncultured bacterium. RNAcentral's name for it is "bacterial SSU rRNA". It matches the Rfam family "Bacterial small subunit ribosomal RNA", at positions 329 to 794 of the family's 1533-position model. The record is from RNAcentral.